RNAcentral lists this long non-coding RNA (5486 nucleotides) under Zea mays. RNAcentral describes it as "long non-coding RNA (ZMAY_LNC001151)". The record is from RNAcentral. Lineage: Eukaryota; Viridiplantae; Streptophyta; Magnoliopsida; Poales; Poaceae.
CUAGAUCUAAUCGGUGCGCACAACAUGGAUCCAACGGCCAAAGGGAUUUCUUCCCAACCAGCUGGACAACCACGGCAGCGCACCAAAAUCUCACGGUGGUGCUCCACCGACGCACCCCAAUCGGCGCCCCGAGCUUUCGUUUUCCCAAACCGUUAGGUGCUAAAUCGAGAGGGAAGCAAGGUGAAAAGCUUGGGAAUGCACACACCUUGAAUAAUGUCGCGCCAUGCUUGGUUGACGACGAAUGGCGGCCCACGGCGGAGCACUAUCUCCGGUGAGCAAUUACUGGUGCUCCGGUGGAUUACUUCACCCGGGAAGGCCAAGAAAACCACCAUAACAACCCAAUGAAUCCCCCAAGCCCUUAGAUUGUCCCGAAUAACGAAAAGGUCAAGGAUUUCAAUGGCACCCCCUGUUCUCGCCCGCACACGACGAGGGGGCAUGCUGGUGGCUCACUGCGACCCGACUGCUUGUGCAAGGCAGAGGAGGUCUAGGUUAUAUAAUGGCCGAGGGAGAGAGUUCGGCGAUGGGGUUUGGCUGCAGCAGCGGGGUUCGCGGAGGAUCCCAACCUCCCGCCGAAGCUGCGGUCUCCGAUCCGUAAGCAUCGGUGUUCGUCUCAACGGGGAAGAAGACCAGACAAGUGGGACCCGACUGCAGUGGCCCAAACGUGCACUGCUGAGGAGAAAACGGCUGACAAGCGGGGGCCCACCGGCAGAGGUCUUGGGUGAGACUGGCGCGCGCGCAACAAGGGCUGAGAAGUGGGCCCCACACGGCGGUGACACAGGGCGCGCUGGCGUGACAGCUGGCGGGCUGCGCGCGUGAGAGUGGAAAUGGGCCGGGUGAAGCAGUUUCGGCCCAUGUGCUGAGAUGAGAGAUUUUUAUUUUCUGCAUUCUAAUUUAUUUUCAGUUUUCAAGUUCAAAUUGAAACAUGAGUUUCAAAUUCUAUUCUAAAUGCAACAUCCACAAUAUCGACAUGAAUGUAGAUUAUAUAUUUUUAUAAAUCUAUAUAUUUAUAUUAAUUAUUUUAUUCACUUGUUUAGUUAAAGGCUCAAAAUGUGACAUCCACUCAUUUUAUUUCAUUUUAGGAAAGAAAUUACUUUUGAGUAUGGGAUCAACUUUCAAGUUAACUAAAACUAAUAUCCAUUACCCUACUCAUUUUGGGAAAAUAAUGUAUUCUCUUUUACCAAGAGUCACUUAAUCUUUAAUAUAUUUUUAUUUAAGAGCAUUCUUUUAAAUUUCAUGAGGAGAAUAUCUUAUCCUACUAGAUUGAAGAUAUUUCUAUUUUUUUCUUAUGUUCACUCAAUUUCUUAGUGUUACUUUCUUAUAAAAGACAUAGAAGGAAUACAUGAACUCCUAACACAUUUUAGGGUUUACAAAUCCUACCCCCCUUAACAGAAAUCUCGUCCUCGAGAUUUGUAAGCAAAGGGAUAGAGAAGGAUUGGUUUGUAAUUUUAGCUCUUAGUUUAUAAUUGGUUCAAAAUCCAGAGUCUCAUUUUUUUUAUUUUCUUUAUAGUCAAUAGUGGGUGAUUAGGAGAGCGUAGGUAUCCAGCUACUAUUAGGUAGGAUAUGAGCUGGACAGGUUGAGGUAAGAAAGAUUAUGGCAAGAAAAAGACUUUAUCUAAAAUGUUUAAGUCUUGACUCGUUGACUGUUAUAUCCUUCCUUGUUGAUGUUGAUCUUUUCUUCUCCGGUCUUGGUCUCAUUGAUUCGCGGUGAGUGCAUAUCAUCGGGGUUGGGAAAUAUGGUUAGGAUAGCUAUGGAUGAGAUAGACUACAUGAUGUAGGUCAAAAUUUUGUUUGAUGAUAGGUGGGGAUAGACAGAUUAUGCAUUCCAUAAAGACUCUAUUGGUUGGGUUGGUCUGUCAUUCUUUAUUUAGUGCACAGAGUGAACUAAGUUAAAGCAUGUGGAUAGGGUCUAAUCUAUUUCACAAGUAUUAACUUAUCCAUUAAGUAACUCACUUUAGAUUGGACCAUAUUAGAUUAGUUGGGAUCUAGAUUAGAUUGGUAUGACUAACUUGACUAGAUAAGAUCUAAUUAAUUUGCAUUAGAUCAUGGUUGUUAAACUAGGGUGGAUAAGUAUGCUUAUUAUGAUACGAUGGAUCCAUAAAGAUAAGAUAGAAUCUUUUGAGGUCAGUUAGAUCUAUUAGGAUGACAUAAAAUCUCUUCAAGAUAAGAUGUAUUUAUUAAGAUAAGAAGGACUCUUUUAAAAUGAGAUGGAUCUAUUAAGAUAAGAGAGAGAGUCUUUUAAGAUAGGGUGGAUCUAUUAAGCUAGAUACAUUUUUAAUGACGGACAUUCUUAGUUUGUAUAGUCAUCUUAUGAUUUAUUUAUUUAUUUAUUUAUAUUUAUGCCUUUACGUAUAUGUAGAUGUAAUUGUGGACAUUACUCCACAACUCAUCACACUCAAUCAAAGAUCCAAAUCAGACAAAUAUCAUAAGAUCGAGCAUUCAAGCAUAUAGAUACUUAUAAAAAAAUAGUUUUGUUUUUGUCCCUGAGAUUAGGUCUCCUAUUCCCAAAAUUCACUUUAGGCAUAGGAUUUCAAAGUGUGAAAUCCACAUUUGUCUUUAGAAUGAAAAGGUAAGAAUAAUCAGAGUAAAGCGGAAAUAGAUGAGAGAAGAUUAAGAAAAGUUUAGAAAGAAUCAGAGUAGCAGAGGUAAGUAUUUAAUGGUUGUCCAGUUCUAUCUAGGUUUCGUCCUACAGUCAACAUUCCUCUGAUACCACUUCUAUCGCACCGGGUUUCCCAAAAUUCACUUUAGGCAUAGGAUUUCAAAGUGUGAAAUCCACAUUUGUCUUUAGAAAGAAAAGGUAAGAAUAAUCAGAGUAAAGCGGAAAUAGAUGAGAGAAGAUUAAGAAAAGUUUAGAAAGAAUCAGAGUAGCAGAGGUAAGUAUUUAAUGGUUGUCCAGUUCUAUCUAGGUUUCGUCCUACAGUCAACAUUCCUCUGAUACCACUUCUGUCGCACCGGGUUUCAGGGCACCAAGACCCGGGCGCGAACCUAAUCACCAGGUGUGCUGGGACCAAGUCUCACACAUAUGAUGAAUCAUGCCACAGGAUCGAAUGUCACAUCUUUACUAUAUAAUAGGAGUUUUGUACAAAAUAAAUAAAUAAUUACAUUAUAAGGAGACAACGGUCCAGCAACCCAAAGUUGACUGGGAGACGACGGCCUAGACCUCUCACGAACACAUCGCAGCAACCACCAUGCACCUCAUCUUGCGGUACCUGUUCUUGACCUGUGGGGGGGUGUGAGACAGCAAGACUGAGCUCACAUACGUUCAUCACUCAACAAGUUGUGGGGAAUAAUGUGCAUGAACUCGCCAAAGGUGGGAGCUCACGUGAAGUGUAAGGCUUACCAAAGAGGAUGGUUAGAGCUGAGCAUUGCUUUUAAAGUUGGUCAAAAUUUUAUUAGCAAUUACUAAGUAUAAGUAAAUACCAACCCAAUUAAGUAGCAGAACAAAAGUAACAACCUCACCUGCGAUGCAAUGCAUAUGACAAAUUGAAUUUAGUUCCAUAAAUUAAUCAUGUGAGUGUCCGAGCUGCUCAUGACCGUGAGCACGGCUAGUAUACCAGUUUUACACUCUGCAGAGGUUGCACAUCUUUACCCACAAGUCAUGUUACCCAUCUGCCAAGAGACGGCCAAUCCCAUACACCUCUACCGAGGAGGCGAGGCAGGGUAACACUACGAGGCCUUUACAAAGUUCCACUAGCUUCAGAAAACCCGCUACAGUUUAUAGGAAGCUCCAAUGCAGGAAUCCCUCGCAUGACCGCCAUCGCAGCAAAAUCAUCCCAAGGGCCUCCCUACACUGACCACUCCCCUACUGCCCUUGCCCCUUUCGAGUAAGGUAAUCAUCCACUAGCUUUCCUAGUUAAUCAGCCAAGGGCGUCCAUAAACCCUUGUGGUAGCACUGUUUUCCCGGGUGGUUCUCCAUGUUCCAAUUAACAUAAUGAUCUUAUCAUGAAUAGUAAAUAACAACUGAUAACAAAAGUGUAAUCAUGAAUAAUGUAUCUCCAUACCCAAAACCACAUAUAGCACUAGCAAGUACUACCCAGAAAGUUCAGUGGUAAACAAGGUAUAAAGAUAGACAAACUAGGGUAUCCUAUUGGGUCCCAUCAAAAUUAACCUAUGCAGAUCAUUAUGAUUAAUUAGAACAUGAGUGGGUAAAAAGAAGUGAUCAAGGGCACAACUUGCCUGGGACUUGAGAUUCCAGGUACCAACUUGCUCUUCAGAUGACACGAAACCUCAGGCUAGUCGUAGCAAUACAAAUAAACAUGGUAUUGGCAAGAUUAACAUCACACCAAACAUAAGAAUAAGUUGCGUAAUAAUAAUCUACGCAUCGCUACGAGAUCGCGGGAUCGAGAACCGCUAAAUUCGGAGUUACGGUUAUUGAGUUAUGUAUUUAUGAAGUUAUUGAGUACAUGGUAUAGUUUAAUUUAGAUGAAUAAUUUUAAUUCAUGUUACAUUGCUAAACAGAGGUACUAAGUGGUAGACAAUAUUAAAACAAAAUUAUUGCAACUGGAACGGAUCAAUUUGGAGCUAAAGUGGAUUAACUAUGAAUUAUACAAGUUUAUGGAGUUAUUUUCAUACUAAAAACCUAUUUCUUUAUUAAUUUCUGAAUAUCCUACGUGUUCUGGACUGGGCACAUUAUUUCUUAAAAGAUCAGGGGCCAAAAUGACAAUUGUCCCAAGACUCAGUAUUCCCACAGUAUGGACUGUGGGUUGAAUCUGGAAAACCAGAGGGUCUCUUUUGCAUAAUCGCACAUCCAAAAGGGUAUCUUGUGUUUUGAGCCGUUGGAUGCAAUUCUGAGGGCCACGAUUAGAUCCACUUGAGUCCGAACCGGUAUGCUCUAUCAAUCGUUGGAUCAAAAACCGUUGGCCCAGAUUUUAAUGUACUGCGAUCAGUUUAAUACGUGCGAUCUCGAUCCAACGGCUCAUGCAUUGGUUAUCCCUAGAUCUAAUCCGGUGCGCACAACAUGGAUCCAACGGCCAAAGGGAUUUCUUCCCAACCAACUGGACAACCACGACGGCGCACCAAAAUCUCACGGCGGUGCUCCACCGACGCACCCCAAUCGGCGCCCCGAGCUUUCGUUUUCCCAAACCGUUAGGUGCUAAAUCGAGAGGGAAGCAAGGUGAAAAGCUUGGGAAUGCACACACCUUGAAUAAUGUCGCGCCAUGCUUGGUUGACGACGGAUGGCGGCCCACGGCGGAGCACUAUCUCCGGUGAGCAAUUACUGGUGCUCCGGUGGAUUACUUCACCCGGGAAGGCCAAGAAAACCACCAUAACAACCCAAUGAAUCCCCCAAGCCCUUAGAUUGUCCCGAAUAACGAAAAGGUCAAGGAUUUCAAUGGCACCCCCUGUUCUCGCCCGCACACGACGAGGGGGCAUGCUGGUGGCUCACUGCGACCCGACUGCUUGUGCAAGGCAGAGGAGGUCUAGGUUAUAUAAUGGCCGAGGGAGAGAGUUCGGCGAUGGGGUUUGGCUGCAGCAGCGGGGUUCGCGGAGGA